RNAcentral lists this non-coding RNA (214 nucleotides) under Sterolibacterium denitrificans. Lineage: Bacteria; Pseudomonadati; Pseudomonadota; Betaproteobacteria; Nitrosomonadales; Sterolibacteriaceae. The record is from RNAcentral.
UUCAAGGUGUCGUGGUCGGCCAGCAAUGCAAACCGGCCACGCUGAAACGGGAAAGCGGUGCGCUUCCGAUCUUUUGAAGCAAUGCCGCUACUGCCCCCGCAACGGUAAGCGAGUGCGGGCGUGUCAUCCAGCCACUGGGAAUGGGUUGCAUCCUGGGAAGGCGACACGUCAAGACUUGCGAGUCCGGAGACCGGCCUGAACGACCAGCGCAAGU